Molecule: ribosomal RNA, 197 nt
Filed under: uncultured bacterium
Lineage: Bacteria
Description: partial 16S ribosomal RNA
Rfam family: Bacterial small subunit ribosomal RNA
Source: RNAcentral
ACGCUCGACACCUACGGGAGGCAGCAGUGGGAAUAUUGCACAAUGGGGGAAACCCUGAUGCAGCGACGCCGCGUGAGUGAAGAAGUAUUUCGGUAUGUAAAGCUCUAUCAGCAGGGAAGAAAAUGACGGUACCUGACUAAGAAGCCCCGGCUAACUACGUGCCAACAGCCGCGGUAAUCUGAGCGGGCUGGCAAGGC